AUGUCUCUGUGUGGACCUGUGUGUGUCUGUGUGCAUCUGUGUGUGUAUAUCUGUGUGUCUAUAUGUGUGUGUGUAUGUGUGACUGUGUGCAUCUGAGUGUGCACUGAGUGUGUGUGUGUCUGUGUGUGUCUGUGUGUGUGUGAUUAAGACUUUUUGAGCUUCUCCCACUGAUGAUCUCUUUUCUCACAAGAAUUUUUAUGUGACCCCGGGUAAAUAUGGACAUGAACCAGACAUAUAAAUGAAACAUUUACUGAAGACAAAUCACAAAGCAAUUUAUUUUAAAGCAACUUGUUGCCAUACAUAUGAUCUAACUUUUGUUGGCAAGGAAAGCAAAUUUGCAUAUUAAUGAGACAGAGUGGCCUGUUCGUCUCAUACAAUACAAUCUAAAGACGUGCUCACCUGAUGUGUACACGCUGGUGCAUACACGCUCAGGAAUAAUGGUUAGAAAACGUUAGAAGUCCUUGCUUUCCCUGUGUAAAGGGCAGGAAACUUGGUAUGUUAUGUGUAAACCCCAUAGUUCGCACCAGCGAUAGUCUCGAAUCUGAGCUGAGGUGACGCAGGCAGCAUUCGUGGUGUGUGGCAUGAAGGCAUGCAGAGCACAGACAGCUCGUGUCAAGCGUUCACGGCUGUAGUGACCUGACACCGUGCAACACACGCGAGCACUGCCAGGCUCGCCUCGGAUUCACGGUGUGUUUAGGUUUUGAAUUAAUUUUUGUCUGUUGCGCACUGUCAAGCCCUUCAUGGGUGCUAAGCUUCGUGACCUGCCAUGUGGUCACAUGAGCCUGAAGGUCUAGAAGUGUGAUUUCACAUCAGUGGUCGGCAAACCUGCACAGAGCCAGAUAGGAAACAUUUUGGCUUGUGGGCCAUGCGGUCUGUUGUAGCUACCGUCCUGCUGUAGCGAAAAGGCAGCCACAGAACAUGUGUAAACAAUGGCUGUGUCUCAAUAAAACUUUAUUUAAAGAAGAAGCAGCGGCCUGAAUCUGGCUCUGAGCCAGCAGUAGUUCCCAUCCUCUGUGUUAGCUGCAGCACGCUGUGCUGGAGAGUCAAAAGGGGCUCCCUCCCAGGUGCCCUACAAGUUUCAAAAGUUCUUCUCUUAUUUUAAUUCAACUUCUGUAAAAAUUUUGGAGGGUAAUGCUGACAUUCGAAGCUGCGCUCACACAGUCGGGGCUCAGCCAGGCUCCCAGGCAGUGCUGGGUGCAGACUGGACCCGUGUCUCUGAAGCUGGUGCCCAUAGGCCGCACAUAGCUCUCGCAGGACCUUCUGCUAAUGACAAUCUUCUGGUCCAGUGCUGGUGGGAAUGUGGGCUGUCCCGCCCGACCACAUUUCAGACAUUCCCCAGGGAGCGAAGCUCCUGCCACCGGGCAGCAACACAAACAUCAGCGCCUUUAACACAUUUCCUGCACACCCGACAGCAGCUUCACGUUGUGGGUGGGAAAGGAAGAGGCAGACAAUCGGAGGAAAACAGAGAGGCAUGAGGCUGGGAGGAACUCUACAGGAGAAUAGUCUAAUUAUAGAGUCCGCUCCUCAGGCCUGAGAAUCCAGUGAGACGGGAAGUUAGAGUGGCCAGACCGGUUGCAGGGAAGAGCCGCGCAUGCCCUACAGUGAGGUUCCCGUAUGUGACCCCGUUAGACCCCCGUGACGUCAAGGUCCCGUUCCUAGUGGAGCCAUAGGUUCUGAGAGUUAGCUCGAUUGCAGUAGGGCACCCAGCGUGGGGAAAUGACAGACCACCAUCCUGCAUCACAGUGCGGGGUCCCUGGGGUCCAUGCUGGGAUUCCAGGCCCGAGCUGCCACAGACAGCUUUUUAGCGGCACGCUGAGAACGUACCUGGCCCUCAUGCUUGUGCCGAGAAGCACCGACUCCUCCGCCCACCGGCUCCCAGUCGUUUUAAGUGAUAACUAUCCAGAGACCUGGGUGGAGAUGAGCUGAGACCAGGCAGCUGCUAUGGGCUGGGAGGAAGACUAAGGUGGUGGCGGCUUCGUCCUGGGGACACUUCACGUCAUUGAGCUCUCGAGGAAAUGCGGCAGACAUUUCCGCGUUUGUUCCUUGGCUCCUCGACAUGCUCGAGUGCAUUCUGUAUCACAGACAUGCACCAGCAUCAGGAGAUGCUGCGUGAGGGGGAAGGAUGCAAGAGGCAGAGGGGAAGGAAGCCAGGGAGGCCACAGUAGGCCUCCGUGUGCUUUGGUAUUGAAAGAAAACAGCUGGUGUCUGCUCUGCCUGCAUCCUCCAUCAGGCGGGCUCUGCUCGGGGAAAGACAUGGCUGCACUUGGGUCCUCACCCACCACCUGCAGGUUGACACAGAAGAGCUGCACCCACUCAGGCACAAGUGUCUGGGAUUCUCAGUUUGCCUGCCCUUCUGGCCCCAGGGCUGGGGGCGGAGGAAGCCUGCAUGUCUGUGUUGUCCAUCGCUGGUCUCCCUAGCUUGUCUCUGGCGCAGUUUCCCGUUCACCUCUGUCCAGGGUUGUCUAGCAGGCCUGACUCACCGAAACCACAGCCAAGUCACCGGGUGGUCUGAGUCACUGACCCUUGGAGCAUCUUACACAGUAAUAAAAGGCAAAGUACCUAAGUAAGUAAGGAGUUUCGCAAUAGAUUGGGUUAAGAAUCUUUCUUGGUGCAAGGUUGGUCUGGGAAUUCCCGGUGUGUGUCAGGUGACUUUCUUCGGCAGUUGUGAAACAAGCAAAUUGCUUCAUCUCCUGGCAACCACCUUCCCUGUCCCUCUUCCCCUUCCCCUCCCUCCUUUGUUUCUACGAACAGCUGCUGGUGCCAUGCGAGUCCCCAGGUCGCACAGGACGGCAUAAGCAGGUCAGAAGUGGUGUCCUUCUCUGUCACCCUCCAAUUUAUUCCCUUGAAGCAGUCUCUCACCGAGUCUAGAGAGAGCCCCAGUGAUCUUUUUUUCUCUGCAUCCACAACCGUGGCAUUAUGGCCCCAUCUAUAACGUUCUCUGGAAUAGAAGCCUUCUUUGGGGGUCAUUUGAGGCUACAAAGUGCCCCUCAAACACCGGUGUCUCUGCAGAGGCAGGGUGUGGACCGGCCAACAGGCCAGCAGCAGGAUGGAGCCUGGUUCUUUCCCUAAGGACCCAUUCCGUGGCUGAGGCUGCAAUGAAGAGAUAAUCCAUCUGCCAGAGAUUGCCACUCCAGGCACAGCAAGGACAGAGGGCUCAGAAGGGAUUGUUGGACAGGAAUUUGGGGCACCUGUGACAUACAUAGUCACUCACCUUUGAUUUUGGUUACAACUCUGGUAGCAAAGGAACACAGGGCUAAGAGGGUCAACAGCCAAGAAAAGACUGGAAUAAUGGACAAGGCCGUGCACGGCUCUAAAACCGCGUGGAUACUUUACCUUCGUGAACGUGCAUUACAAUAAGAAAGCAGUGGGGUUUAUACUUUGAAAUCAAAAGUUAACAGAUAAAAUGUUUAUGUCUUUAUUCUCAAGAUAACCUGCUCAAGAUAGUGUCAGAAUGAUUAAGGAAGAAAAAAAAAUAUGUAUUUGAGAAGAGAUCCUUUUCAUCCAAGUGGUAACUUCAAAAUUCUUAAAUUUGUAGGGGAAAAAUAUUCUAAGAAGAAAAGAAACUUGUGUAUUUGGCAAAAUGUGAUUAACUCCUACCCAGAUAUUUAAAGACAUUCCUAAUUUCAUCUUUAAAUUUUGGGACUGGAGAGACUGCUCAGCAGUUAAGAGCUCUUGCAGAAGACCGGGGUUCAGUUCCCAGAACCCACAUCAGAUGGCUCACAACUGCCUGUAACUUGGCUCCAGGGUAUCUGAUUCCCUCUUCUGGCCUCUGUGGGUACUGCACACACACACACACACACACACACACACACACACACACACACACACACCUUUUUAAAGAAAUGAUUAUUUCCAAGUAUCAGGCAAAUGUUAUUUAAUAAAUGGAGUCAAUUGGUUGUAUAGUUGAGAACAUGGGGUUUGUUCUCAGAGAGAACAGUGAUUUUUUUUAAGAGCUCCUCGUGUCCCUUUAGUUACAAACGAGCCCCAAGCCCUUGCUAGGACAUGAGUUUUGCUCUAUAGACAUUAAAACAGCUCAAAUAAAAAGUGGUAAAAAUACCAAAUGCUACCAAAGAUUUGGCUAUUUGGAAAAAUAGUGCUUAUCCUUUAUUUGUGGGGAUGUAAAUCAGCGCCAUCAUCAUCAAAAACCAAACACACACUUUGCCAUGUGGCUCAGAAAUUUCAUUUCCAGAGAAAUCAAAACCUCAGCAAUACAGAGUUCAUAUGAUCAUAGCAGAUGUAUCUGUAAAGGCUCUAAAUGAGAAGCAAACCAAGUGCCUCGCCACGGAGGAGUAAACAGGCAGCAGCCAUUCGUCAACUGCAAUCUCACCCAAUAAAAAGAAAUCAAAUACUAAUUCUCACAACAGCCCAUAUAGUGACUCACUCAAGAGCAUCGUGGUGGGUGAAGAAAGCCAGUCUCGGAGCUCUGUGUGCUGUUUGAUUUCAUGAACACACCAAUCUUUAGCGGACUAAAGACAGAGAAGGAAGCAGCUUUCAGAGCUGGAGGUGGGGCAGCAAAGGACUGUGACUCCAGAGACAGACUGCAGAGUGGACCCCGGGACCAGCACAUGACAGAAAGACAUGGAACUACACAUGCUGAACCAGAGUUGCUCUCCCGGUCUUACCCUUCCAGCCGGGCCCUGGUGGAGAUGGGGAACGGGUGUACAGUCCUAUAACUAUUUCAAAAUGAUUGGUUUGGUCAAGUCUGGUGGUGCAGGCUGCAAUCCCAGUGGCCGGAGAGACUGAGACAGGGAGAGUUUCAGGCUCACCUAAGCAAAUUGCUUGAGACCUUGUCUCAAGCUUUAAGACUACAAAAGGACCCCGUGCUUCCCCAGCAUGCAGGAGGCCCGAGUUUGUCCCUCUUGUGAUGGUUCGAGUGAUAAGUGUCCCCUCCCGCAGGCUCAGAUAUUUGAACUCUUGGCCCACAACUGGUGGAGCUGUCUGAGGAGCUGGUGUGCUCUUGCUGGAGGAAGUAUGUCACUAGGGUAGGCUUUGAGAGCCCACAGCCUCACCCACUUCCAGUGCAUGCUCUCUGCUUCCUGUUCCAGCCCCUACCACUGGGCCUUCAAUUGUUAUGGACUCUCAUCCCUCUGAAGCCAUACACCCAAAUAUACCCUCUCUUCCUUAAGUUACCUUUGGUCACAGCAAAAGCAAAGUGACCAAGAUACCUACCAGGCAAAAAGAAAGAAAGGAAGAAAAAGUGGGGAUAGGUUGGGCUGGGAUUUUGCUGUUGUUUGUUUUGCUUUGGGUUUUUUUUUUUUUUUUUUUUUGCUUUUGUUUUUGAUCAUCUAAACUUAUUAGGAGCAUAGAAGAAAGUGAGAACAGAAAAAUCACCUGAAAUCACCCCAAGAGCUCUGGCGUAGAAGCCUCCAUGCCCUGUAUCUGUCUGUCCUGUCUUCUCUCCUGGUUGAGGAACAGGAAGUGGCAGGCAGUGCUAUUUUCCUAUCUUGAGCAAGAACGAGGGCCACAGAUGAAAUGCUUGCUUUGUGCUGCCGGGUCUUCAAACAGGUUUGGAAUGUUUAGAUUCCCUGGAAGUCCAAAGUUCAGCAAACUGCUGCUUAGCAAUGGCACACCUCACAUACACACACACACACACAGAGAGAGAGAGAGAGAGAGAGAGAGAGAGAGAGAGAGAGAGAGAGAGAGAUACUGGACUCCUGGUCGGACAACGUGAUCAGCGUUUGAGGAAAUCCCCCAUCACAGAGAAAAACAAUUUCUUCAGAAUCAAAACUAAAAGGAGGGAUGGGGUGAUUUAGCUUCCCCAAGUGGGAACAGGCAUUGGGGCAUCUUUUAAUGUUUUAGUAUUCAAUAAAGCUCGAGAGUCAAAUUUUAGGGAAUAAACUUGAUUGCUCCAUGGAGCAGCAGAGCAAUGCUCACUUCACCCUCUUC
This is a long non-coding RNA of Alexandromys fortis (reed vole), 5886 nucleotides long. RefSeq lists it as uncharacterized. The record is from RefSeq and is a predicted model, not a curated record. The transcript has 4 exons. Lineage: Eukaryota; Metazoa; Chordata; Mammalia; Rodentia; Cricetidae.